AAUGAACGCUGGCGGCGUGCUUAACACAUGCAAGUCGCACGAGAACGCUUCAGCUUGCUGGAGCAAGUAAAGUGGCGCACGGGUGAGUAACGCGUGGGUAAUCUACCCUCGAAUUGGGGAUAACAUCGCGAAAGUGAUGCUAAUACCGAAUGAUAUCUUUAAAACUCCGGUUUUUUAGAUCAAAGGUGGCCUCUACAUGUAAGCUACUGUUUGGGGAUGAGCCCGCGUACCAUUAGCUUGUUGGUAGGGUAACGGCUUACCAAGGCAACGAUGGUUAGCUGGUCUGAGAGGAUGAUCAGCCACACUGGAACUGACACACGGUCCAGACUCCUACGGGAGGCAGCAGUGAGGAAUUUUGCGCAAUGGGGGAAACCCUGACGCAGCAACGCCGCGUGAGUGAUGAAGGCUUUCGGGUCGUAAAGCUCUGUCAAGUGGGAAGAAACCACAUGAUGCUAAUAUCAUCUUGUGUUGACGGUACCACUGAAGGAAGCACCGGCUAACUCCGUG
This 507-nucleotide ribosomal RNA is filed under the name uncultured delta proteobacterium. RNAcentral's name for it is "bacterial SSU rRNA". It matches the Rfam family "Bacterial small subunit ribosomal RNA", at positions 29 to 507 of the family's 1533-position model. Lineage: Bacteria; Deltaproteobacteria. The record is from RNAcentral.